RNAcentral lists this ribosomal RNA (498 nucleotides) under uncultured bacterium. RNAcentral describes it as "partial 16S ribosomal RNA". It matches the Rfam family "Bacterial small subunit ribosomal RNA", at positions 30 to 523 of the family's 1533-position model. The record is from RNAcentral.
AUUGAACGCUGGCGGCAUGCUUUACACAUGCAAGUCGAACGGCAGCGCGGGGCAACCUGGCGGCGAGUGGCGAACGGGUGAGUAAUACAUCGGAACGUACCCAGAAGUGGGGGAUAACGUAGCGAAAGUUACGCUAAUACCGCAUACGUUCUACGGAAGAAAGUGGGGGAUCGCAAGACCUCAUGCUUUUGGAGCGGCCGAUGUCUGAUUAGCUAGUUGGUGAGGUAAAGGCUCACCAAGGCGACGAUCAGUAGCUGGUCUGAGAGGACGACCAGCCACACUGGGACUGAGACACGGCCCAGACUCCUACGGGAGGCAGCAGUGGGGAAUUUUGGACAAUGGGCGCAAGCCUGAUCCAGCAAUGCCGCGUGAGUGAAGAAGGCCUUCGGGUUGUAAAGCUCUUUUGUCAGGGAAGAAACGGCUGAGGUUAAUACCUUUGGCUAAUGACGGUACCUGAAGAAUAAGCACCGGCUAACUACGUGCCAGCAGCCGCAGUAA